RNAcentral lists this ribosomal RNA (468 nucleotides) under uncultured bacterium. RNAcentral's name for it is "partial 16S ribosomal RNA". It matches the Rfam family "Bacterial small subunit ribosomal RNA", at positions 28 to 507 of the family's 1533-position model. The record is from RNAcentral.
GACGAACGCUGGCGGCGUGCUUAACACAUGCAAGUCGAACGGAAAGGCCCUGCUUUUGUGGGGUGCUCGAGUGGCGAACGGGUGAGUAACACGUGAGUAACCUGCCCUUGACUUUGGGAUAACUUCAGGAAACUGGGGCUAAUACCGGAUAGGAGCUCCUGCUGCAUGGUGGGGGUUGGAAAGUUUCGGCGGUUGGGGAUGGACUCGCGGCUUAUCAGCUUGUUGGUGGGGUAGUGGCUUACCAAGGCUUUGACGGGUAGCCGGCCUGAGAGGGUGACCGGCCACAUUGGGACUGAGAUACGGCCCAGACUCCUACGGGAGGCAGCAGUGGGGAAUAUUGCACAAUGGGCGGAAGCCUGAUGCAGAAACGCAGCGUGCGGGAUGACGGCCUUCGGGUUGUAAACCGCUUUCGCCUGUGACGAAGCGUGAGUGACGGUAAUGGGUAAAGAAGCACCGGCUAACUACGUG